GCCCGGAUGGCUCAGUCGGUAGAGCAUCAGGCUUUUAACCUGAGGGUCCAGGGUUCGAGUCCCUGUUCGGGCG
Molecule: transfer RNA, 73 nt
Filed under: Hyalella azteca
Lineage: Eukaryota; Metazoa; Arthropoda; Malacostraca; Amphipoda; Hyalellidae
Description: tRNA-Lys
Rfam family: tRNA
About the family: Transfer RNA (tRNA) molecules are approximately 80 nucleotides in length. Their secondary structure includes four short double-helical elements and three loops (D, anti-codon, and T loops).
Source: Rfam by way of RNAcentral